UACAGAGGGGGCAAGCGUUAUUCGGAAUUAUUGGGCGUAAAGGGCGCGUAGGCGGCUUUGCAAGUGACGGGUGAAAUCCCUCGGCUUAACCGAGGAACUGCCUGUCAGACUGCAUGGCUUGAGACCGGGAGAGGUGAGUGGAAUUGCAGGUGUAGCGGUGAAAUGCGUAGAUAUCUGCAGGAACACCCGUGGCGAAAGCGGCGCGCUGGACCACUACUGACGCUGAGGAACGAAAGCUAGGGGAGCAAACAGG
RNAcentral lists this ribosomal RNA (253 nucleotides) under uncultured bacterium. Its description in RNAcentral is "partial 16S ribosomal RNA". It matches the Rfam family "Bacterial small subunit ribosomal RNA", at positions 524 to 776 of the family's 1533-position model. The record is from RNAcentral.